GUGGGUUUUAAAUCUCUUUUGGGCCAAGCCUAUCUAGUUUUGUGAAGCCCAACCGUUGGUUUGCAGCCCAGCCCCCUUUUCCCCUUAAAUGGCAUCGUUUUUUGCCAGCCUUAAGGCUUUAAUCCUUUUUCUUUCCCCUGCCGCGCCACUGCUUCUUCUUCCUCUUCCUAUUUUCAUUUUUUCCUGUCUUUUUCCUCUGCAAAUCAAUAGGCGCAGCCCCUUUCUCUUCUUCUGGUAUGGUUUUUCUUUUCCAUUUUCUCUCUUUGAUCUUUUGCUCUCUUCUUCUACUACGAAACCGUGCCUCCUUUUCUUUUUUCUAGUUUUAUUUUUCAUCUAGUUUUCUUCUCCCUGCAAAUCAGCCCAUGGUGCUAUUCCUUGCUCUGUUCUAUCUCUUUCCCUUGUCCUUUGGUAUUCCAAAUUUAGGUUGAGAAACCAUUUGCAUUUCGAGCAUUUCUCCCCCCAACCCAUGCUCUGUUUUAAGCCAAACUCGUGCCCUAUAUUCUUCUCCAAAUCCGUGUGUCAUGCAUUCUGUUGUGUUCUAUUUUUGGCCUUAACCCGUGCCCCUGUUUUGGUCCAAGCUGUGAGCUCCAUUUUUGGUUUUGCUUGGUGGUGUGUUCUGUUGCAGUGAUCGCCAUUGUCGAGCGACUAGCCUCUUCUUUCAAUCUGGUUAAUCAAUCCACCUUUCCUUUAAUUUUUGCUUCAAAUUCCCUCGAUUCCGAGUCCUAUUUUCAGUCUCAAAACAGUGCUUGUUGGUGAAUUUACUUCAAGCUCGCUUUUGGCGUUAAUCAAGUGCUUGUGCGAUCUUCCAAAGUUUUACCUUUUCCUCAUUUCUGUUUAGUUGUGCUGGACAUUGGGUUUGAGGAGUGUGGAUUUUUGGAUCAGAUUGGAGGUGGGGCAUAUUUGUGGAGUUUUGUUGUGAUUGGGUAUUUUACUUUGUUAAAUAUUGUGUCAUAACAUUCAUUUUUAUGUUUCAUGCAUUUUCAUGGGUUAAGGACGAAAACUGAGUUUUCAUAUUAAGAAAUGAUUUUUGGGUGCGUGUGUAUCACGACCCCAAGUCAAAAUAGGGCAUUAUCUAGAUAGAGCUCUUAUGGUCACUUAGAAGCGGAGAAAACUAAGUGACGUCUCCUGAGUUAUCGCUGGGCGACAACGAGAUCGAAUGAGAUAGUAAUGCUCUUGUGCAGACUCCGCAGCCCCUCUGCUGGUGAGGACUAGAGAGUGCUUGAUCACAAAUGUGCUGGGCACAGAGCUGGAUAUCGCUCUUUACAAAGUCACACUUACGAUCAUUACCCUUGGUGUGACGAAGGAAGCCAAGGUGUGUGGGUAGUUCUUAUGGGAGAUCAUGGUACAUACGGGAUAAUUGGAUAUAUGGGCCAUUUUAUGAAAAAAUGUUAGUUUUUUAUAAAUAAAUACUUGGACCAUUUUCUGAAAAAAUGGUGAUCUUACACUUGGGCCGUUUUCUAGAAAAAUAGCAGUUGUUUCUUUAAUGGACUCGUUUUGGACCAAAUGGAAUUUUUUACGUGCAUUGGAAAAAUGGUCAUUUUCGGAGAAAAUUAUGGUUUUGAUCUCAUGCAUGUUUUAGCAUGUGCAUCCAUACAUGUUGGUUGUCUAAAUAUGUUUUUAUCUCUUGGAUUGUUUAGUUGGUUACUUACUGAGACUCAUAAUCUCACGUGAUAAUUAUACUACAUAGUUCUAUUUUAUAGAAUUGUAGAUUUUGAUGCAGAUGAGAACAUCGAGCAUGAAGUUUCAGCUCCGCAAGAGGAGUGACUUGGAGUCGCUUGUUGGUUUUGGGAUUUAUUUUUCCUUUUUGUUUGUGUGUUUAGGUUUUGUAUUAUAUUUUGCUGAAUAAGUGUAUAACCUUUUAAAAGGCUUUUAUUUUGGUAUAUUUGUAUUUAAAAUUCUGGUAUUUAAUUGACUUCUUUUAUUUAUCCGCUA
Carya illinoinensis is the source of this 1932-nucleotide long non-coding RNA. RefSeq lists it as uncharacterized. NCBI's taxonomy places the organism in Eukaryota, Viridiplantae, Streptophyta, Magnoliopsida, Fagales, Juglandaceae. The record is from RefSeq and is a predicted model, not a curated record. The transcript is spliced from 2 exons.